GCGCCGGUAGUCUAGCCUGGUAGGACGUCGGCCUGCCACGCCGGUGACCCGGGUUCAAAUCCCGGCCGGCGCACCA
RNAcentral lists this transfer RNA (76 nucleotides) under Thermoprotei archaeon. RNAcentral's name for it is "tRNA-Gly". It matches the Rfam family "tRNA". Rfam says of the family: Transfer RNA (tRNA) molecules are approximately 80 nucleotides in length. Their secondary structure includes four short double-helical elements and three loops (D, anti-codon, and T loops). The record is from RNAcentral. Lineage: Archaea; Thermoproteati; Thermoproteota; Thermoprotei.